UGGGGAAUAUUGGACAAUGGGCGAAAGCCUGAUCCAGCAAUACCGCGUGUGUGAAGAAGGCCUUCGGGUUGUAAAGCACUUUAAGUUGGGAAGAAAAAACUUUACCUAAUACGUGAAGUCUUGACGGUACCGACAGAAUAAGCACCGGCUAACUCUGUGCCAGCAGCCGCGGUAAUACAGAGGGUGCUAGCGUUAAUCGGAUUUACUGGGCGUAAAGCGUGCGUAGGUGGUUUGAUAAGUCGGUUGUGAAAGCCCCAGGCUCAACCUGGGAAUUGCGGCCGAUACUGUCAGACUCGAAAACGGUAGAGGGAGGUGGAACUCCAGGUGUAGCGGUGAAAUGCGUAGAUAUCUGGAAGAACAUCGAUGGCGAAGGCAGCCUCCUGGGCCUGUUUUGACACUGAGGCACGAAAGCGUGGGUAGCAAACA
RNAcentral lists this ribosomal RNA (426 nucleotides) under uncultured bacterium. RNAcentral describes it as "partial 16S ribosomal RNA". It matches the Rfam family "Bacterial small subunit ribosomal RNA", at positions 355 to 774 of the family's 1533-position model. The record is from RNAcentral.